This 322-nucleotide ribosomal RNA is filed under the name uncultured Chloroflexota bacterium. RNAcentral describes it as "bacterial SSU rRNA". It matches the Rfam family "Bacterial small subunit ribosomal RNA", at positions 28 to 351 of the family's 1533-position model. The record is from RNAcentral. Lineage: Bacteria; Bacillati; Chloroflexota.
GAUGAACGCUGGCGGCGUGCCUAAUACAUGCAAGUCGAACGAAGAUUGUAGCAAUACAUUCUUAGUGGCGAACGGGUGAGUAACGCGUUGGUGACCUGCCCCGAAGUGGGGGAUAACAAUUCGAAAGAGUUGCUAAUACCCCAUGUGAUCCUCCGGUCUAGAUGCCGGUUGAUUAAAGGAUUUAUUCGCUUCGGGAGGGGCCUGCGUCCCAUCAGCUAGUUGGUAGGGUAAUGGCCUACCAAGGCUAUGACGGGUAGGGGGCCUGAGAGGGUGACCCCCCACACUGACACUGAAACACGGGUCAGACACCUACGGGAGGCAG